This 255-nucleotide ribosomal RNA is filed under the name uncultured bacterium. RNAcentral describes it as "partial 16S ribosomal RNA". It matches the Rfam family "Bacterial small subunit ribosomal RNA", at positions 524 to 775 of the family's 1533-position model. The record is from RNAcentral.
UACGUAGGUGGCAAGCGUUGUCCGGAUUUAUUGGGCGUAAAGAGCGUGUAGGCGGCCAGGUAGGUCUGCUGUGAAAACUCGAGGCUUAACCUCGAGCUGUCGGCGGAAACCAUCUGGCUAGAGUCCGGAAGAGGAGAAUGGAAUUCCUGGUGUAGUGGUGAAAUGGCGUAGAUAUCAAGAGGAACACCUGAGGUGAAGACGGGUUGCUGGGCUGACACUGACGCUGGAGGCGACGAAAGCGUGGGGAGCAACAGG